CCAAUUUUUUAUUAUUAGUUGUACGAUCACCGCGUCAGCGGUGUGAGUACCAACUACUAAUGUAAACGUUGAACUAGAUCAUCAGUGCGUGGAUUUGUUUGUUUUCGAGCGGACAGUCCCCACACUGAUAACCCUUAUUAUUUAUAUAAUAUACCACAUAUAUACUACAAACAAAAAAGCUAUAAUAGGACUUAUAUAUAGGCUGAGUGGGUAACAUCCUCAGCCUUUAAACUAAUAACUAUUA
Molecule: unclassified non-coding RNA, 244 nt
Filed under: uncultured Ramicandelaber
Lineage: Eukaryota; Fungi; Kickxellomycota; Kickxellomycetes; Kickxellales; Kickxellaceae
Description: sequence contains ITS1
Source: RNAcentral